AGUGAACGCUGGCGGUAGGCCUAACACAUGCAAGUCGAACGGCAGCACAGUAAGAGCUUGCUCUUACGGGUGGCGAGUGGCGGACGGGUGAGGAAUACAUCGGAAUCUACUUUUUCGUGGGGGAUAACGUAGGGAAACUUACGCUAAUACCGCAUACGACCUACGGGUGAAAGCAGGGGAUCUUCGGACCUUGCGCGAUUGAAUGAGCCGAUGUCGGAUUAGCUAGUUGGCGGGGUAAAGGCCCACCAAGGCGACGAUCCGUAGCUGGUCUGAGAGGAUGAUCAGCCACACUGGAACUGAGACACGGUCCAGCCUCCUACGGGAGGCAGCAGUGGGGAAUAUUGGACAAUGGGCGCAAGCCUGAUCCAGCCAUACCGCGUGGGUGAAGAAGGCCUUCGGGUUGUAAAGCCCUUUUGUUGGGAAAGAAAAGCAGCGGGUUAAUACCCCGCUGUUCUGACGGUACCCAAAGAAUAAGCACCGGCUAACUUCGUG
Molecule: ribosomal RNA, 492 nt
Filed under: uncultured bacterium
Lineage: Bacteria
Description: partial 16S ribosomal RNA
Rfam family: Bacterial small subunit ribosomal RNA
Source: RNAcentral